GAUGAACGCUGGCGGCGUGCCUAAUACAUGCAAGUCGAGCGAACGGACGAGAAGCUUGCUUCUCUGAUGUUAGCGGCGGACGGGUGAGUAACACGUGGAUAACCUACCUAUAAGACUGGGAUAACUUCGGGAAACCGGAGCUAAUACCGGAUAAUAUUAUGAACCGCAUGGUUCAAAAGUGAAAGACGGUCUUGCUGUCACUUAUAGAUGGAUCCGCGCUGCAUUAGCUAGUUGGUAAGGUAACGGCUUACCAAGGCAACGAUGCAUAGCCGACCUGAGAGGGUGAUCGGCCACACUGGAACUGAGACACGGUCCAGACUCCUACGGGAGGCAGCAGUAGGGAAUGUUCCGCAAUGGGCGAAAGCCUGACGGAGCAACGCCGCGUGAGUGAUGAAGGUCUUCGGAUCGUAAAACUCUGUUAUUAGGGAAGAACAUAUGUGUAAGUAACUGUGCACAUCUUGACGGUACCUAAUCAGAAAGCCACGGCUAACUACGUG
This 497-nucleotide ribosomal RNA is filed under the name uncultured bacterium. RNAcentral describes it as "partial 16S ribosomal RNA". It matches the Rfam family "Bacterial small subunit ribosomal RNA", at positions 28 to 507 of the family's 1533-position model. The record is from RNAcentral.